ACUGCACCUCCGACCGGAACUGGAAGUGGUCUCUGGUUCCGUAUCUGUCCGACAUGUGUCGCGCCGGGCUGCAGAAACACUGCUGUGCUCAGAAGGGGGCCCUCCGUCACCGUGGUAGGACGUUGAUGCUGUACUGGUUGUGGAAGGAGAAGCGGGACGUCAUGGCGAACCGUCACACUACUCUGGUGGUGAUGCUGUGUUUGCUGGUCCUCAGUGUCCACAUAACCUGCGGUCUGCCGGGCGGCGCGAACACCCAGGUCCUGAGACGGGACCGGCCUGUCGUACACCAUGAGGUGAUUGCAGUUAUAAGCUGUUCGCCUGGAACCCGACGCUGUGGACGACGAGGGUGCUGCAGAACGCGCACGGGGCCACGCCCGCUGCGUCGCUGCUUACCCUGGCAAAUCAGCCACCCUGUGCAUGGGUGUAUCGGUUAGACACGGUGUUUGGGUGUAUCGGUUAGACACGGUGGUUGGGUGUAUCAGAUAAACCUCGUGUUUGGUGUAUUAGUUGAACCCCGGUGGUUGGGUGCAUCGGCUAGACACGGUGUCUAGGAGAUUCAGUUAAAACCGGCAUUUGAGGAUUCUGCUUAAGCUUGCUGCUUGAGUGUACCAGUUGAACUCAGUAUUGAGGUGUAUCCAACCCUCACAUAUACUGUUUGGGUGUACGCAUUAAACUCUGGCAGAUCCAUCACUGUUGUGUGUAUUCGCAAGCGCGUCGUUUCAUUCAAAACAGGUGCUUGGAUGUGUCAGUAAAUAUGGACUUGACCGUAUAAGGGUAACUCUGGUGUUAUGUGCAGUAAGUAAGCAUUUAAGUAAGCGUAUUCGUGCAUUUUAAGUAAAGAUUAAUGACUGUUGCUUGUUGAAUAUAUGACUCUGUACUCUGUAGCUACUGUCCAAACGCAUAUCCAUGUAAUGCGUGCCGCCUGCUUUGUUCACUGUAGGUAUAUUGUAGCAACGUGGUGGCAGUCUCCCAUAGCUGGCUGUCUCCUUUUGAAGACGAGAUAAUCGUCUCAUGCAUGUGAAUGUGUGAUUAGAAAAAAAAAAACAAAGGCAUGCAGUCGCUUCUGGCUAAUCAUAAGCAAAUCCAUCCCGCAGAAGCAGUGAGGUAGACAUGCGGUAUUCGCGGAUAAAGGAGAGGACAUAUCGUGGUGUUCAUUCUUGGAUGAGUCCACCGAAGGCUGGUAAUGAUUUUGUGGCAUUGAUUUAUUACGGAGCGAGCGGAGCAAGCGAAGUCUUUCGUAGAUUAACGGAAAUUUCUGAGAAUGAGCGGUGAAAUGACAUGAAAUGAAAUGGUAUGAUGGUAUAAAUGACACGGUGAAUGGUUACUAUUGUUUUUUAUCUAAAAUCUUGGAUUUGGGAUGAACUGUUGCUCAUUUAUUCAUGCACAUAUGUUUAACGCUCAUAUGCUUGUGGUUUAUGUGAAUCUGACGUUCCUUGCUUUUGGUUUGGGGAAGCGUUUGAGGCUGCCAGUGCCUAAUGUAUUAGCGAAGGUAUAUUGAUAAGUUUUCCCCACCUGUAAAGGUAAUUGGCAGGAAAUUUGCGUAUUCACAUAAUGCCCAGUCUAUUAUCGUUUAAGUAUGUUACGAAAUACAUAUUGGUAAAAAUCAAUAGAUAUAACGGCUCCCUAUCCCUUAUUGAAUGAGAGAAAGCAAAGAAUAGAAAUGAUGUGCAUCCAGACAGUGCUUUUCGUUAAUAUUGUUUGCAAACAACCUAAUGCUCUUUUUUACAAUCUUAUUUCAAUUCAAGUUUUGAACGAUAGGAGUAAGUGCGUGAUUGUAACCCUUUUUCUCACCGCUUCCAAUUGAGUAGAAAUAGCUUUUGCGUCGUGUGACAUAUCAAGUUGUUUCCCUCCGCCCCGGUCGUCCUACCGCGCCUCUCGUCAUGAAAAAUAAAACACUAUGCCUAGUGA
Molecule: long non-coding RNA, 1908 nt
Filed under: Amphibalanus amphitrite
Lineage: Eukaryota; Metazoa; Arthropoda; Thecostraca; Balanomorpha; Balanidae
Description: uncharacterized LOC122394597
Source: RNAcentral